This 505-nucleotide ribosomal RNA is filed under the name Fusarium equiseti. Its description in RNAcentral is "eukaryotic LSU rRNA". The stretch from base 151 to 304 matches the Rfam family "5.8S ribosomal RNA". Lineage: Eukaryota; Fungi; Ascomycota; Sordariomycetes; Hypocreales; Nectriaceae. The record is from RNAcentral.
UACCGAGUUUACAACUCCCAAACCCCUGUGAACAUACCUAUACGUUGCCUCGGCGGAUCAGCCCGCGCCCUGUAAAAAGGGACGGCCCGCCCGAGGACCCUAAACUCUGUUUUUAGUGGAACUUCUGAGUAAAACAAACAAAUAAAUCAAAACUUUCAACAACGGAUCUCUUGGUUCUGGCAUCGAUGAAGAACGCAGCAAAAUGCGAUAAGUAAUGUGAAUUGCAGAAUUCAGUGAAUCAUCGAAUCUUUGAACGCACAUUGCGCCCGCCAGUAUUCUGGCGGGCAUGCCUGUUCGAGCGUCAUUUCAACCCUCAAGCUCAGCUUGGUGUUGGGACUCGCGGUAACCCGCGUUCCCCAAAUCGAUUGGCGGUCACGUCGAGCUUCCAUAGCGUAGUAAUCAUACACCUCGUUACUGGUAAUCGUCGCGGCCACGCCGUAAAACCCCAACUUCUGAAUGUUGACCUCGGAUCAGGUAGGAAUACCCGCUGAACUUAAGCAUAUCA